GAUGAACGCUGGCGGCGUGCCUAAUACAUGCAAGUCGAGCGAACGGACGAGAAGCUUGCUCCUCUGAUGUUAGCGGCGGACGGGUGAGUAACACGUGGAUAACCUACCUAUAAGACUGGGAUAACUUCGGGAAACCGGAGCUAAUACCGGAUAAUAUUUUGAACCGCAUGGUUCAAAAGUGAAAGACGGUUUUGCUGUCACUUAUAGAUGGAUCCGCGCUGCAUUAGCUAGUUGGUAAGGUAACGGCUUACCAAGGCAACGAUGCAUAGCCGACCUGAGAGGGUGAUCGGCCACACUGGAACUGAGACACGGUCCAGACUCCUACGGGAGGCAGCAGUAGGGAAUCUUCCGCAAUGGGCGAAAGCCUGACGGAGCAACGCCGCGUGAGUGAUGAAGGUCUUCGGAUCGUAAAACUCUGUUAUUAGGGAAGAACAUAUGUGUAAGUAACUGUGCACGUCUUGACGGUACCUAAUCAGAAAGCCACGGCUAACUACGUG
Molecule: ribosomal RNA, 497 nt
Filed under: uncultured bacterium
Lineage: Bacteria
Description: partial 16S ribosomal RNA
Rfam family: Bacterial small subunit ribosomal RNA
Source: RNAcentral